RNAcentral lists this long non-coding RNA (340 nucleotides) under Medicago truncatula (barrel medic). Its description in RNAcentral is "long non-coding RNA (MTRU_LNC005591)". Lineage: Eukaryota; Viridiplantae; Streptophyta; Magnoliopsida; Fabales; Fabaceae. The record is from RNAcentral.
GCCUUGGUCACUAGCCCUUGAUCAAGAGUGCAGGCAAGGGCAAUGGCUCCGCCAACAACUAGAAGCUUAGGUAUGCUUCUCCCGAUCGGUUUGUCAUCAAAAGAAUCCUGAUUUUCAGUCUCCAACAAGUUACUGGUCGAGUCUUCCAGACAUCUCACAUAAUCAGCAGUUACCUUGGUGUUGAUUUUAGCGUUAUUAGCACAUGGUGACAAUGGAACACCGGAAUCCCUUUCUUUCUUAUACGUACGUAGUCCAGGAUCAAACUUCUUGACGGCUCCCCACAUACCCUGACGAACUCCAAGCUUAGCGAUUUCCCAAGGUAUGCCCAUAUCUUCGUAGU